Molecule: long non-coding RNA, 644 nt
Organism: Physella acuta
Lineage: Eukaryota; Metazoa; Mollusca; Gastropoda; Physidae
Source: RefSeq, a predicted model, not a curated record
CUAGAAUCUAAUCAUACGGCUGCACAAAAAGAAAGUUUGAAGGAAAUAGAAUAGGAAUCUGCAGAAGCGGAGUGUUUUCCGCACUUGAGAGGAAAGAGGUUGUAGGGAACUUAGAGACUAAACCUUGCCAGCAUACUGGAUUUCUGGUGAUGACAAUAGCAGCAGAUAGUAUGCGGCUCAGUUAAUACUAAAAACAAUUGAUUUUAGUAAUUAGUGGACUAUGAGUGUGUGUUUGGCCAUCCAGAUUUCAUAACUACAACUGAUGUUCAAUUACAAGGGAUAUUAAUCAGUCUCACUGUGCCUAAUCACUGUGCCUAGUUUCAUCCUCAGAGACUGAUGUGUAAGCUUAAAGUAAAGACAUCAAAUCAAAGUAUCAGCCAUCAAGAGGAAAAACAUUCAAAAUCAUAUUGUGAUACACAAGUCAAGCAAGUCUAUGACCAGCAUUUUGAUACAGGCCAAGAAAAAGCUGAAUACUUGAUUGGAAGGGUGGCACAAAAAACAUGAAUUAUCACUAGGGAAACAAGCUCGGAAUACAGUUCACUGUUAGGACAGCAAGCCAAAUACUUCUAAACUUAUUUGAAUCAUUUUUGCUGUUUAUUAUAAUUCAUCCAAUUGUCUUAUUAAAUAUAUAAAUUUAUAUAUAU